UACGAAGGGGGCUAGCGUUGCUCGGAAUUACUGGGCGUAAAGGGCUCGUAGGCGGCCAACUAAGUCAGACGUGAAAUCCCUCGGCUUAACCGGGGAACUGCGUCUGAUACUGGAUGGCUAGAGAUUGGGAGAGGGAUGCGGAAUUCCAGGUGUAGCGGUGAAAUGCGUAGAUAUCUGGAGGAACACCGGUGGCGAAGGCGGCAUCCUGGACCAACACUGACGCUGAGGAGCAAAAGCCAGGGGAGCAAACGGG
Molecule: ribosomal RNA, 253 nt
Filed under: uncultured bacterium
Lineage: Bacteria
Description: partial 16S ribosomal RNA
Rfam family: Bacterial small subunit ribosomal RNA
Source: RNAcentral